GAAGGGAAAGAAAAAGAAAAAGAAGAAGAAAGAAAGAAACAAAAA
RNAcentral lists this non-coding RNA (45 nucleotides) under Palpitomonas bilix. The record is from RNAcentral.